Malaya genurostris is the source of this 1090-nucleotide long non-coding RNA. RefSeq lists it as uncharacterized. The record is from RefSeq and is a predicted model, not a curated record. The transcript is spliced from 3 exons. Lineage: Eukaryota; Metazoa; Arthropoda; Insecta; Diptera; Culicidae.
AAAUCUGAAUUGUUCAAAAAUGUUUAAAUGAAGUAAUUAUGCUAAUGUUAUUUGCUUAUUGCAGCACUGCUCAAUAGGUUUGGUCGAGCAAAACGAACAGUAGGCCGAGAGACAAAUGUCACUCAAGCGCCGCGCGUUCAUUUUUCCUCAUUCGUGUUUACCAUUUUUCACAGAAUCCAUAUUCAAUUUUAUUGCUCGGGUUUCUCGGUACAGUUACUGCAUUUGUGUGUCACAGGAAUUUAAAUAAUCGAAGGAACACGAGAAACAAGAAUUCUGUUGGUUGCAGUGUCAAUUGCAUAUCACGUACCGAAAAAUCACCUUGGCAAGAGAAAAAUAAUCGAUCCCUCCUAAUCUCACGGGAACCGGCUUUGGCAUGACCGUUCCGAAAUUAAGUCAUCAGAGUGAUAUCGAACCAUUUAUAGAGGCUGAUCAAAGGAUUUCGUUACACAUGUUCCUACACACGCGCAUGAAUAAUUCAUUGACUAAUCAUGCAGCUUCUGACAGAUGUUUCGGAACAUGCCCGCCGAAACGGAGGGUCCGAUGCUCUGCUCAAUUUGUCUGAGGCAUGAUGUCUGAAACUGAUUUAUUUGGAAGUACACGUGAGUGGGGAAAAAUUUUGGAAUGAUAACAAGAUGCUAAUUUUAGCUGGAACAAGGUAUCGUCUCAUAAUUAAGGAAAAUAUCGGUCAAUUUAAUCGCAUGAAAGUAUUCAAAACAUGAUGUAAUUCGGUCACAAAUGUGCGAAAAUAUUUCAAUUUGAAUCACCUCUAACAGAUGAGUCAGAUUAUAAAAUAUAUCUGGUGAUUUGGGCCCAAUCGUAACCAUCGCAACCUCAUUUAACUGAAACGUUGAGAACAGUAAUUUAAAACAGAAAAAGAAAACAAGAUAUUGUCUUCGAAUCGAAUUCUAAAUAUAAUAUGUUGAAGAACCACGGCAUUCCGAGUCUGCACUUUUCACCGUCCUUGGUGAUUUCCACAACAAGAACAACAACAACAAAAACGGUAAUAAAAUAGAAGAAUCGAUAUUAACACUUCAAGUUAUUCGAAAUUGACACGCCAUUCGGCAGUUAGAUUCGCAUGUUUUCCCCUCCC